Molecule: ribosomal RNA, 403 nt
Filed under: uncultured bacterium
Lineage: Bacteria
Description: partial 16S ribosomal RNA
Rfam family: Bacterial small subunit ribosomal RNA
Source: RNAcentral
AUUGAACGCUGGCGGCAGGCCUAACACAUGCAAGUCGAGCGAGCGGCGGACGGGUGUGUAAUGUAUGGGGACUGCCCGAUAGAGGGGGAUAACUACUGGAAACGGUAGCUAAUAUCGCAUACUACAGGAGAACCCAUAUGGGAUUAGCUAGUAGGUGAGGUAAUGGCUCACCAAGGCGACGAUCCCUAGCGGGUCUGAGAGGCUGAUCAGCCACACUGGGACUGAGACACGGCCCAGACUCCUACGGAGGCAGCAGUGGGGAAUAUUGCGCAAUGGGCGCAAGCCUGAUGCAGCCAUGCCGAGUGUAUGAAGAAGGCCCUCGGGUUGUAAAGUACUUUCAGUCGGGAGGCGUUACCGACAGAAGAAGCACCGGCUAACUCCGUGCCAGCCGCCGCGGUAAUAC